RNAcentral lists this long non-coding RNA (2850 nucleotides) under Olea europaea subsp. europaea. Lineage: Eukaryota; Viridiplantae; Streptophyta; Magnoliopsida; Lamiales; Oleaceae. The record is from RNAcentral.
AUCUCACCAAGAUGUAGGAAUAAGAUUACAAUUGUGGAAUGGAAUUACCAGCUCAUUCCAACCCCAUUAAUUUCCGGGUCAAUCGCAUUCCUAUAUAAGUGCACAAACACAUAAAAACUCUUUUCACAUCAACACAUACUCUUCUUACACAAAUUUAAAUACUAUUUAGCCAUCUAAAUACCACCAAAUACUUAUAAUCAGCCAGAAAAACAUCCAUCAAUGGCAGAUUUUGAGAAUUCUCAAGAAAUUCCUAAAAUCAUUACAUUCCUCUCUUCCCUUCUUCAAAGAGUAGCUGAAACGAACGACGUUUUCCGACAUCUCGACUCACAAAAAAUCUCUAUCUUCCAUGGCUUGACAAGGCCUACCAUUUCUGUCUACAGCUACUUGCAGAGGAUCUUCAAGUAUGCAAAUUGCAGCCCUUCUUGCUAUAUCACAGCAUACAUUUAUCUCGACCGGUUUAUGAAGAAACAGCCAUUGUUGCCUAUCAAUUCUUUCAAUGUUCAUCGCCUGCUUAUUACAAGUGUUUUGGUUUCUGCAAAGUAUAUGGAUGAUAUGUAAGUUUUCUUGAUGCUUUAAUAAUCUGUUAAAAUCUGAUGAAAGUUAACCCUUUUGAUCCAAUAGUAGUUAACAGAUUAUUUGAUUGUUUGGUAUAUUCAUAGAAUCAAAGUUCAAAAAGAAGUUAAAAAAUUUGUCGACUGUAUGUUGUGUUCGAGUUCUCAGUUAUGCUUUUCGUGUGAUCCAAUUAGAUUUCCUAACACCAAGCUCACUGCACGUCUAGGGAUAUUCCUAAAGGAGUUGCUAUAACAGAGCAUUUCACUAGUCAGAUUUUCUCGAUUAGUAAAUUGCAACUCGAUUCAGCAUAGAAUUCAUCUAUUUCUGAUCAUGAUGUCAUAGUUGCAUCGUUGUCGUCGUCUUCUUCUUCUAGUUUAUAUUUUUUAAUUUUCCCUGUAAUGGGAUUAAGUUUCAUAGUUCCAAAAAUAAUGUUUUUUAUUUAUCUAUUAUUAUUUUCUAGCUAAAUUAUUUCAUUUUUCAAUCUUUCUAUGGUCUUGAGUUUCAAAUUCAAUGUUUAGACAAAAUUAUGUCCUUUUGUUGCAAAACUGGUCAACUCCCCAGAGAUUUCUGAUCUGUGUUAAAUGAGGUCGUCAAACUAAAGAAUAAUAUACUUUGGGAAGUGAUGUGGAGCAAAUUUUGCCCAAACGUUGAAUUUGAAACUCAAAACCAUAAAAUAAAAUAAAAAUAAAAAUAAAAAUAAAACAAUUAGUUUUAAUAACUUUAGGUAAAUUGUAUCAUUCAAGGCUGAGGAUGGUGUUUAACACAAAACACAUUUUGAAGACAUGUGAAAUCUCAUUGUGUGGAAGUCAUCAUGCUCCACUAGACAUAGACACCUAAUAUUUGGUGUCCCUUGUCUGGUGGAAUAAUGCUAAAAAUUCAAAGCAUUAAGACAUGUAAAUGUACAGACAAAAUAAGUGAUCUUUGAGAAUUCAAUGGGUAUGAGUUUUUGAAGCAAGCCCUAACCAUGUGAAAAUCUUCGUCUUUUCAGCCAGUUGUUUGAAAGUUAUUAUGUACGCGUUGAACGAUGUUAGAAGUCCAAAGCAUACUAUUUUAGAUGUACACUGUUAAAUUAAUAAAAGAUAAAGAGAUAUUUCUCUUUGUUUUCCGAUAGUUUAUGAAACAAUGAUGCUUUAUAGCCUCCCUGACCGAACACUCACAAUAGGAGCCAAGCCCACUUUUUUCUUUCUUUGCUUUUUAUUUUUUAUCUUUUAUUCACAUGGUUCUCACACAUGUGAAAGGCUAUCAUAAUUUCUGUCACUCAUUUUCGAUCACUUUAGCUUAAUUCUUUUGAAAAAAAUAUAUUUUGGAGGUGAGAAAAUGUCAUAACAAGUACUUGAUGAUAGUGGGUGGCCAUGAGUGUAUUUAUUCCUCUCAUUUAUAUCACCGUAUCUUCCAUUUCAAGAAAUCAAAAUAUAUGAAAUUGGCACUAUCAAUAUGAAAUGCAAUAGUUGGCAUUAAAUUGUAAUCUAUCAAUCAUAGCUUGGCUAUGUAUGAUAUUUUGUGAGUAAUAGCUUCAUUUGGUCGAAAAAUUUAGUCACCAGAUUCGUGAUGUUAUCUUUGACAAGUCAUUUUAUCUAACUUUGUUGACUUUCCUAACUUGGAUUCACUAGAUUUCUUUUCUCCUUUAGCAAGCUAACAUAGUUGGACAGAAUGACUCUAUUGAAGCGUAAGUAUUGAUCAAGCAACCUAAUCGAAGACAAAACAACAAAUAUCUCAUUUACUUUCUAUUUUCCAACUUAUUAAACAUGUAAAUGAUCUAACGAUCACAUUCUAUUUAUGCUUGAUAAUCUUACCUUUUUUUCUUGUUGUAUUUUUCUUAAUGCAGAUUUUACAACAAUGCAUACUAUGCGAAAGUAGGAGGAAUCAGCAGAGCAGAAAUGAACCAUCUUGAAGUGGACUUCUUGUUUGGAUUAGGGUUUCAAUUAAAUGUUACCCCCCAUACAUUCCAUACAUACUGCUGUUACAUUCAAAGAGAGAUGCUGCAACACUCUCCUCCUCUACCUCUACACUUACCACCAUCUUCAAAUCAUGAUCAUUACUAUAUCAAUGAAGAUGGGUCCACACAUCAGCAUCAACUACCAUUUCAAUUAAUCCAUAAUAUUGUUGAUUAAUCACCAAUAAUUUUGUCAAUUUGGUUGAAGAUCAUGAUGGGAAUGCUAGAUAACGCUUUACUAUUAUUCGAAAGUCCAAUAUGAUAAAAGCUAAAAGCAUUUCAAUUUUGUUCAUCUCACAAUUGAAUGUGUUGAUCUGGUUCGAUUCAUGAUUGCAUCUUUAGAACCUUUUGACACCUAAUUCCUU